AAAGGUCACCAAAAAAUUCUCUUUCUUAUUUCUUGUAUGAAUAUAUUUAUAUUAUAUCUUUAUACCCUCUUUCAUUCUUUCUGGUAAACAUAUUUGCAGGAUAACCCUUUUUUGCAAUCACUUUUGCGUUUUGCGGAACAAAGCUCUUUUGUAAGGAAAUCAAUUCUCUUUUGAAGCUUGCUUUUGACUUUUUGUCUUGCAACUACAUGUUCCAACAGCAUAUACAUCCAUCAAACAAAGGGAUUUAGUCUGUCAAUUCAUCCUCUAUGAAAUUCCAAUACAUCUUUCUUACUGUUCCAGUUCAUGGAAAAUAUGCUGCUGGAUUCCUUAAAUUCUGUUGUAAUGACACUUUAUGUUGGCUCAAGAGACAACUUGAGGAUUCUUGUGAGCCUGCACAAGUGCUAUUGGCAUGUUGGCAUGAACUUCGCAGCUACCACAAUUAUAUGGUUGCACAAUUAUGAAUCCAAGCACAAGUUUUUGAAGUAAAGUUUCUCAAGAUGGGAAAGGGUAUUUUGCAUAUGACCAUAAUAGUUUCUCUUCUUUUCUCUUUGCAAUUGGAUGAAGAUCCAGUUUCUUAUGAGGAUUUUGCUAGAAUUCAAGAUUUUUUAGUGCAACCACAAUCAUUUUCCCCAACGCUGGAUGGAUCAGCAUGUGAAACUAUCAAAUAGUGGACUACUGGUUUAUCGGGAUAUUGUACAAGUUUCUCCUCUCAUUUCCACACCAGAUCGUACCCGCUUACACCAAGAACAUCAAAAAUUUCACAAACUUUUCUCUUUCUAGCAAGCUUGGCAAUGUAAUAAUAUAACUUUGUUCCGUAUAAUAUGAAGCAUAUUAUGUUAUAGGUAGUAUAUAUUACCAAUAAGAAAAUGCCUUGCAAAGGUCAAAUCACUUUUAUAUUACCAGUUUUCACCCGUGCCUUGCACGGGCUCGGGCCAACUAGUAAGUUAAUAAAUAUGCUCCCUUAUGUUUGA
This is a long non-coding RNA of Lycium barbarum (goji berry), 971 nucleotides long. RefSeq lists it as uncharacterized. Lineage: Eukaryota; Viridiplantae; Streptophyta; Magnoliopsida; Solanales; Solanaceae. The transcript is spliced from 7 exons. The record is from RefSeq and is a predicted model, not a curated record.